UGCACUACAGAGGUGGCACUGAAUAACACAAGAGUGACAUUUUGGUAUAUUUACAGACUGUUGAAUUAAGGUCAGAUGUGGCAUGAAAGCAUGCAAAUUCAAAAUAACAAUGGAAUGAAAUGAAUGCAUUAACUAUAGAGUUAUGAAUAUAGAAAUAUUAAAUAUUGAUGCUUUAAAAAUUCAACUAAAACGGCCAGUAGGUGGCGGCAAGUCACUGUUUGUCACUGAAUCAUUAAUUCAAUCGAUUCGUUCAAACAGCUGAUUCAUUCAGGAAUGAAGCAAGUGACUGCCUAAAAACACUCGUUCAAAACCACACAUUCAUUCAUAAAGGAAACGCUUUGUCUUUGACCCGCUGCUCAGUGGUGACUUUGUCUGGAACUGUUUGCUUGGACCAUCAUGUUCCUAAAAUGUAAGCCACUAAAUAUUAAUUUAUUUUUUUAUUGAACUGCUUUAUAAAAUCAAUGUGACAUUUGAUAUUAAAACUCCCUUUAUAAUCAUGUAACUACACACUGUUUACGAGAAUACAAGAGGGCGUAGGCCUAUUCUAUUUUUCUCAUAUUUCUUUAUGGCUUUAAGGUGUCAUAAAAUUGAUAAAACUGCUAUAUUUACAACCCGCGAUGUACACGAUACAGCGGAUUAUAUCGUUAGUAUUAACCAUCAUUGGAUAUGAAUGUUAUCGUUCGAAAUGAACUGGUGACGUAUCUGCUUGUUUUUUUUUUUUUUGUAUUCCAUUAAGCGCGAGCCUUUAUGACGUCACAAUUCGCCCGUUAAAGUAUUUAAGGGCAUGAAACUCACUUGUUCAUUUUAAUAGUUGGUAGCGACUGUUAGCGACUGGUAAACGGUGUUAUCGUGGGUCUGCUUUCAAGACUAAAAAAAAGCGACUGGUUUGGAGAGUGUACGUGAACCCUGUGUAACGUUACAUCCCAAAGACUCCCCCAUCAUGACGGAGAACCGUCAACCGGCGCCUGUUGGUGCUCUUGAGACCGAUGGAGGGAGAAAGCAGAAGAGCUUCUGGAAGUGGGCCGCUCUUCACUUUCCUUCCCGCAGAACGGGAACAUAUGAUCUGGCCAAAGCUGAGGAGAAAUACGGGAUAGAGGCGGAAACACACUGGAGAGAUAGCGAUGCUCCAGCUCCUGAAGGCCUCCCUGCUGCUGAGGAACAGCAGAAACACAAUGUCCUGGACAAGAGCCUGAGUGUACAUGAACUCUGUGUACAAUCCAGAGACACCCCCAUCACAUCUGAGAACCGCCGUCCCAAUCUGUCUGUUGGUGCUCUUGAGACUGAUGGAGGGAGAAAGAAGGCAGGGAAAGAGGAGAAGAAGAAC
Cyprinus carpio (common carp) is the source of this 1324-nucleotide long non-coding RNA. NCBI's taxonomy places the organism in Eukaryota, Metazoa, Chordata, Actinopteri, Cypriniformes, Cyprinidae. The record is from Ensembl.